UGGGGAAUAUUGCACAAUGGGCGAAAGCCUGAUGCAGCAACGCCGCGUGAGUGAUGAAGGCCUUCGGGUUGUAAACCUCUUUUGGCAGGGAAGAAGCGAAAGUGACGGUACCUGCAGAAAAAGCACCGGCUAACUACGUGCCAGCAGCCGCGGUGAUACGUAGGGUGCAAGCGUUGUCCGGAAUUAUUGGGCGUAAAGAGCUCGUAGGCGGUUUGUCGCGUCUGCUGUGAAAACCCGAGGCUCAACCUCGGGCUUGCAGUGGGUACGGGCAAACUAGAGUGCGGUAGGGGAGAUUGGAAUUCCUGGUGUAGCGGUGGAAUGCGCAGAUAUCAGGAGGAACACCGAUGGCGAAGGCAGAUCUCUGGGCCGUAACUGACGCUGAGGAGCGAAAGCAUGGGGAGCGAACA
Molecule: ribosomal RNA, 407 nt
Filed under: uncultured bacterium
Lineage: Bacteria
Description: bacterial SSU rRNA
Rfam family: Bacterial small subunit ribosomal RNA
Source: RNAcentral